CACUAAAAGCCUGUAAAAAGUUGUAUAACUUGACAAGUAGCAGAUUGCAAGAUAGUUGAUCAGUUAUGAAGGGGAUUUGGACCCCCUGGAACAUCUCGUAGAGAAACUCCAUAAAUUGGGUGGACCUCCUUUGUGCUAGGUCCCUGUUGUGUCUUUGUAUAGAAAUGCCAUGAGAUUGAGAACUGCUGAGAAAAGUUGCUUUUUUCUGUUUGCUUGAUUUCUUUACUCAUCCAUCUGCUGGCCUCGCAGCAACUUGAGAGCUGGCUAAUCGUCAGUAUAAUCAUUAAGAUCAGAAGUGAGAGCCUUGAAUAUUGAACUGCCAUCACUGCAGGCUUGACGAGUUAUAGUCCCUUUAUAUGAGAUCAGCGAAGCGGUAGAGAAGAUAGAGCCAAAACAAAUUAAUUUUAAUGAAAUGGCCAAACUGCCCAUUGAUCAUAAAUGGAUUAGCUGUCAGGCCAUUGUCUAAACUAGUUGACAAAACAGAACGAGGAUUAAGCAGUUGUGCUUCUUUUGGCAGUUGUAGUGUUCACGUAUUUGGAUUCAGGUCAUGUUGGAAUUUCACUCUCAUGAUUCAGAUAGCUUUGCGAAUAGUUGGGAGUAUACAAUUAGAUACUGCUGCAUUAAACUUGAGCUUCUGAUGAAUGAAAGCUGAGCUUUUAAAUUGUAUUGUCCCAGAAAGGUAGAGUCUUCUUUGGUCCUUUUACUCUGGUGGAGUGCCAACUAAAAAUACUGCUUAGAAAAA
Molecule: non-coding RNA, 742 nt
Organism: Cajanus cajan (pigeon pea)
Lineage: Eukaryota; Viridiplantae; Streptophyta; Magnoliopsida; Fabales; Fabaceae
Source: RefSeq, a predicted model, not a curated record